UACGUAGGGGGCAAGCGUUGUCCGGAUUUAUUGGGCGUAAAGAGCGUGUAGGCGGCCUUACAGGUCAGCUGUGAAAACUCGAGGCUCAACCUCGAGACGUCGGUUGAAACCGUAUGGCUAGAGUCCGGAAGAGGAGAGUGGAAUUCCCGGUGUAGCGGUGAAAUGCGUAGAUAUCUGGAGGAACACCGGUGGCGAAGGCGGCAUCCUGGACCAAUUCUGACACUGAGGAGCGAAAGCCAGGGGAGCAAACGGG
RNAcentral lists this ribosomal RNA (253 nucleotides) under uncultured bacterium. RNAcentral's name for it is "partial 16S ribosomal RNA". It matches the Rfam family "Bacterial small subunit ribosomal RNA", at positions 524 to 776 of the family's 1533-position model. The record is from RNAcentral.